Molecule: ribosomal RNA, 415 nt
Filed under: uncultured bacterium
Lineage: Bacteria
Description: partial 16S ribosomal RNA
Rfam family: Bacterial small subunit ribosomal RNA
Source: RNAcentral
UAAUGGGCACAGGAGGUAACGCUAAACCAGCCAAAUCCCGUGGAGUUUGACUGUCCUAGGGGUUGUAAACUUAUUUUUUAAGGGAAUACAGUGAGCCGCGUGUGGCUGUUUGUAUGUACCUUACCAAUAAGGAUCGGAUAACUCCGUGCCAGCAGCCCCGGUAAUACGGAGGGUCCGAGGGUUAUCCGGAUUUAUGGGGUUUAAAGGGUGCGCAGGCGGAAUAUUAAGGCGGCGGUGAAAGUUUGCAGCUUAACUGUAAAGAUGCCGUUGAUAAUGGUAUUCUUGAGUGUAAAUGAAGUCGGCGGAAUUUGAAGUGUAGCGGCGAAAUGCAUAGAGAUUACGAGGAACUCCGAUUGCGAAGGCAGCUUACUAAAAUACAACUGACACUUAGGCACGAAGGCGUGGGGAUCAAACA